ACAGCAGCCCUAGCCUAGCUCAGCAAAGUGCGCUACUCGUCCGGGUUACUCGCAACGGGGGUGUGGGGCGGGCCCGAGGGAGCGUUCAUCUCGAAGACACCCUCCUCUCUGGCCCGCCACGUGCUCUCAGCUGGCCUGUACCGCAAGCCUCCCCCAGCUACCCUAGCUGUCCUUCCCGAAUGUAGGCGCCUUGAGGCAAGGCCGUCUAGGACUGGAAUGACCUUGAACUUCUGAUCCUCCUGCCUCUACUUCCUGAACAGCAGGAUUACAAAACAGGAGCUACCCUGCCUGGUUUCGGCAGGGCUGGAGAUGGGAUGCGGGGAUUUGUAUGAGCUGGAAAUGAGAAUGCCGCCCACUGACCCGCCUUCCCAGCCUGCAACAACUGAAGAAUCUAAUAAGUCACCACUGUGGCCAGUACCCAGCUAAGUCCAGCCAACACCCGGCUCAGUGAGGAUGUACCACCGGUGACUCCAUGAAAGAGUAAACCAUGCUGACUGCCUGUACCCUGCAACUUGAGGAGGCUUGCCAAGAACCACCUGGAGCCAUCACAUUUGGUACUUAGUCUUCUCACAAGUGAAAACAGAUUCAGGAGAGCAGGCUGGGAGUAUUUCAGGAUCCAUUCUGAAAUUAUAUCUCUGUUGUAUAACAGUUUCCUCAAGAUUGAAACAUUCCAUCCUUGGGGGACGUCCUUAAACCAGAAGGUUAACAAUUCAAAAUAGCUUCAGGAAGUCCCUGAAACGGACCAGAUUCGCUAGGCCCCUCCCUACCAGAUUAAACAAUGAAGUAGAGAGUCCCUCUGAGACUCACUGAGCUGCAGAGGAGGCUGAGACCAGAUCCACUGCUUGGAAGAAGCAGAAACCCCCUGAGCUAUGUGGAAGAGGCUUAGACCAGACUCACUUGGUCUAAAAGAAAGCACAUUCUUCACUGUUUGAGCUGCCUGCAGGCUGGACAGUGUGUUUCAGGUCCCCGGCUUUGUGAGCUGUCAAUCAUGCUGGGGUGGGCUUUGUUGAUGCAACUGUCUGUGAGUCAUUUCUGCCCCUAAUCCACACUCCUAUAAGUAACCCCAAUAAAACUCAUUGGUUGUCC
Long non-coding RNA from Mus pahari (shrew mouse), 1086 nucleotides. RefSeq lists it as uncharacterized. The record is from RefSeq and is a predicted model, not a curated record. Lineage: Eukaryota; Metazoa; Chordata; Mammalia; Rodentia; Muridae. The transcript is spliced from 4 exons.